Molecule: ribosomal RNA, 484 nt
Filed under: uncultured bacterium
Lineage: Bacteria
Description: partial 16S ribosomal RNA
Rfam family: Bacterial small subunit ribosomal RNA
Source: RNAcentral
AUUGAACGCUGGCGGCAGGCCUAACACAUGCAAGUCGAGCGGAUGAAGGGAGCUUGCUCCUGGAUUCAGCGGCGGACGGGUGAGUAAUGCCUAUGAAUCUGCCUGGUAGUGGGGUAUAACGUCCGUAAACGGGCGCUAAUACCGCAUCCGUCCUUAGGUAGAACGUGGGGUUUCUUCGGACCUCUCGCUUUCAUAUGAUCCUAGGUCGGAUUAGCUAGUUGGUGGGGUAAAGGCCUACCAAGGCGACGAUCCGUAAAUGGUCGGAGAGGAUGAUCAGUCACACUGGAACUGAGACACGGUCCAGAAUACUAAGGGAGGGAGCAGUGGGGAAUAUUGGACAAUGGGCGAAAGCAUGAUACAGCAAAGCCGCGUGUGUGAAGAAGGUCUUCGGAUUGUAAAGCAAUUUAAGUUGGGAGGAAGGGAAGUAAGUUAAUACCUUGCUGUUUUGACGUUACCAACAGAAUAAGCACCGGCUAACUUCGUG